UGUGUUUUAACUACAAACUCUAUAUUAUUUCUCAUAAUUCUGAUAAAAAAUGGAACUGAAUUGGACUUUACAUUAUUGUUUUUACAAAUUUAAUUUACAUUGUGUAAUGGGGUUGACCCCAGUCUUUGAUCUUAUACCAAAUCAAAGAAAUAAAAGAAUUUCUGUAUGACUUCUAUAAAAAGAAUUCUGAUCUUCCCCAUAUUUCUCCCCUCCCCUGCCUGCAUAAAUUCAACCUCUAUAAUCUUCUUGAUUUCUUCCAUCUUUUUGUAUUUCUUUACCUAUAUAAUCUGUACCUUUCUUGAUCUUAUCAACCAAUUGCUGAUGGAAAUCCUGCCUGUGAAUGGAUCUUCCAAGAAGAGUUUAUAAUUAUCUGGAAAAAAAUUUUUUGCGAUCCUAGACUAAUAAACUAUGCUUUAUUUGAGCGAUCUUUGGCUAAUUCUUUUUCUCCAGAUUGCAAUUCAUUCACUUCAGCAUUGUGUGGUUUAACAGAACCAUCUACAGAAUGGUGUUCUUGUUCAUGAUGAGCUUGAAAUGUCCAUAUCAGAACCAGAAACACCAUACUCAAUGACAGAAACAGCAUUGACCCCCAUACCAUCCGAACGUACUUCUUCAAUGGUUUGCAGUGUUUUGUAAGGAUUUCAGAAAAUGCAUCCUUCACUGAUUGGCAUUCUACCAGGCUUUCCAUAUCUGGGUAUGCGUUUAGCAGGUUCUGAAUUGAAGUUGUGUAAUCCUCCAUUGUUCUGAAAUCAUUGAUUGAUAUGAAUUGUCCAGCACUACAUGUGCCAUUGUUGGUACCAGAACAAGUAAGUGGUUCCAACAUCUUUGGGAUGUCUCCGAUUUUAAUUGUGUUAGUUGGGCAAUUAUUUGCCUGGUAUUGAUACUCUGGUGGUCCUGAGAAAGGAUUGCACACUUGUACUACUGAUAUGUUUUCAUUCACCUGAUUAACAAUGUUGUAGAUCCCUUCACUGACAUCAGUCAAGACUGGUUUUGCAUCGAGCAAUUCCUCGCAGGGAAGGAUCGAACUCAAGCUGUUGUUAUAAGGAUCCUUUUGGAAGGUUUCAAGAGCUGUGCAGGUAUCGCCAGAGAACUUUCCUAAGAAGAAAUACACCCCAAAGAACACCCAGCAUAGAGCAGUCAGGAUCCAACAGAGUACAAUAAGCAGGUUAAGAGCUCGGCGUAGGCGCAGUGUUCCACAAACUGAAAGAGAAAUCACAGCAGCCAGGUUCAAGGAAAUAGUGACUAUUGUUAUUAUAUACACUAUCUUGAGACCUUUCUCAAUAAGACGCCUGUUUUUCCUUGCUUGCCUUUCAAUAUCAGCAGCUUGAUCGUCUAGUUUCUGUGAUGUGGAGGUAAGGAAGCUAGAAGCUUGUUCUGCACUUACAUUAGAGGCUUGUAGAUUAUCUCUUAUUUCUUUCAUUGCUCCUGUUGUGUUAUAUAUUGUUUCUGAUGCACCAUCUGCUGUGUCAAUGAUGAUGUUCACCACAGUUCUUGCUCUCGAACGGAAUUUUGCAUUCCCUCCAAGAACUAACCCAGUAGCAGUUAUUGCCAAGAUAGUGAACAAAAUAGCCAAGAUAACAGGCCAAAGAGAACAUUGUUUAUUGCAAGGCAAUCUUUUCUUGUUCAGCUUUUCUUUCCUUCUACUUUUACAACAGUAAGUAUUUGCCAGAAGAAUGCUUCCAUAUAUUAUUCCAGCUAGAAGCCAGAGCACCCCAAUUGCAUAUCCAUAAACUCCUGUAAAUAUAGUCGAACUCCAAUAAUGCUUGUUGGUGACAUCAUAUCCUCCUCUGUAUUUCUUGAAAUUGUCUAGAGGAUCCACCCUCACAGUGUCAUCGGAAUGUAAGACAUUGUUUGUUUCAACGGAAUUAGAACCUGGAUCAGAACUAUUGGUUAGUAGUGUUUGUCCAGCAAUGAAAUUUGAACUUAAAAUGCUGACCAAGAAAAUUAGAGGCAAGACCAAUUGAGUUUGAUAAUUGGAAGCCAUCUUUAACCUGAACUGAGAACUGCAGCAGCUUCAAUGGCUCUCAACUUUCUGCAACUUGAAUAUUUUGAACCUGUGCUUUGAUCUUAUGACAAAUAAUCUUUGAAAAUUCUGAUAUGAAAAUGCUCCAAUCCUCAAACAGAAAGUACCCUUCACACGAAAAGCUUUAAUACAAUCCAGAAAUUAAUCCCAGCUUUUCUGGUAAAAAAUUAAAUAUCAGCAAAACCCAGUAAAGAAAGUUCAACGGAUA
Molecule: unclassified non-coding RNA, 2228 nt
Filed under: Hevea brasiliensis (rubber tree)
Lineage: Eukaryota; Viridiplantae; Streptophyta; Magnoliopsida; Malpighiales; Euphorbiaceae
Source: RNAcentral